GUCCACGCCGUAAACGAUGGAUGCUAGCCGUCGGAUAGCUUGCUAUUCGGUGGCGCAGCUAACGCAUUAAGCAUCCCGCCUGGGGAGUACGGCCGCAAGGUUAAAACUCAAAGGAAUUGACGGGGGCCCGCACAAGCGGUGGAGCAUGUGGUUUAAUUCGACGCAACGCGAAGAACCUUACCAGCUCUUGACAUUCACUGAUCGCCUGGGGAGACCUGGGAGUCCUAGCAAUAGGCAGUGGGACAGGUGCUGCAUGGCUGUCGU
RNAcentral lists this ribosomal RNA (264 nucleotides) under uncultured bacterium. RNAcentral describes it as "partial 16S ribosomal RNA". It matches the Rfam family "Bacterial small subunit ribosomal RNA", at positions 793 to 1055 of the family's 1533-position model. The record is from RNAcentral.